UGCCAUUCCCCGCCCUUGCAAGAUCAAUGCAUUGUUCAAAUCCAUGGGAGAUUCCUUGCCAACCCGAAGAUCCUUCGGAUCUGACGAUGCUAACAAGUCUUGGAUCUUGAGUCAUCCCUCUGCUAUAAGCAUGUAUGAUGAUAUAGUGAAUUCCUCCAAAGGGAAGAAGAUCGCCAUGUUUCUUGAGUAUGAUGGCACUCUUUCCCCCAUUGUUGAAGACUCCGACAAAGCUUUCAUGG
Ipomoea nil (Japanese morning glory) is the source of this 239-nucleotide long non-coding RNA. RefSeq lists it as uncharacterized. NCBI's taxonomy places the organism in Eukaryota, Viridiplantae, Streptophyta, Magnoliopsida, Solanales, Convolvulaceae. The record is from RefSeq and is a predicted model, not a curated record. The transcript has 2 exons.